This 253-nucleotide ribosomal RNA is filed under the name uncultured bacterium. RNAcentral describes it as "partial 16S ribosomal RNA". It matches the Rfam family "Bacterial small subunit ribosomal RNA", at positions 524 to 776 of the family's 1533-position model. The record is from RNAcentral.
UACGUAGGGACCGAGCGUUGUCCGGAUUCAUUGGGCGUAAAGAGCUCGUAGGCGGCCACUCAAGUCGAAUGCGAAACCUCGAGGCUCAACCUCGAGCCUGCAUUCGAUACUGGGCGGCUAGAGUCUGGUAGGGGGAUCUGGAAUUCCUGGUGUAGCGGUGGAAUGCGCAGAUAUCAGGAGGAACACCGGUGGCGAAGGCGGGAUCCUGGGCCAGUACUGACGCUGAGGAGCGAAAGCGUGGGGAGCAAACAGG